This 465-nucleotide ribosomal RNA is filed under the name uncultured Weissella sp. Its description in RNAcentral is "bacterial SSU rRNA". It matches the Rfam family "Bacterial small subunit ribosomal RNA", at positions 338 to 795 of the family's 1533-position model. Lineage: Bacteria; Bacillati; Bacillota; Bacilli; Lactobacillales; Lactobacillaceae. The record is from RNAcentral.
CCUACGGGUGGCUGCAGUAGGGAAUCUUCCACAAUGGACGAAAGUCUGAUGGAGCAACGCCGCGUGUGUGAUGAAGGGUUUCGGCUCGUAAAACACUGUUGUAAGAGAAGAAUGACAUUGAGAGUAACUGUUCAGUGUGUGACGGUAUCUUACCAGAAAGGCACGGCUAAAUACGUGCCAGGAGCCGCCGUAAUACGUAUGUUCCAAGCGUUAUCCGGUUUUAUUGGGCGUAAAGCGAGCGCAGGCGGUUGUUUAAGUCCGAGGUGAAAGCCCGGGGCUUAACUGUGGAGGUGCAUUGGAAACGGGAUGACUAGAGUGCAGUAGAGGAGAGUGGAAUUCCAUGUGUAGCGGUGAAAUGCGUAGAUAUAAGGAAGAACACCAGUGGCGAAGGCGGCUCUCUGGACUGUAACUGACGUUGAGGCGCGAAAGUGUGGGGAGCAAACAGGAUUAGAUACCCCGGUAGUC